Molecule: long non-coding RNA, 1207 nt
Organism: Pezoporus occidentalis (night parrot)
Lineage: Eukaryota; Metazoa; Chordata; Aves; Psittaciformes; Psittacidae
Exons: 3
Source: RefSeq, a predicted model, not a curated record
UACCAAUAGAUCCUUUUUCUGAGCUAGGCUGCAGCUUUAAGCCCUGGACAUACAAAAUCUUGCUCUGUUAAUGUUACGCACUGUGAGUCGCCUGAUGAAGUUCAGUAGGGCUGUUUGUACUGCAUGAAGCUAAGCAGGCAGGGAAGGCUUUGAGGGACUUGGAGCUCACACAGCAAGAGAUGGCCUAUAACUAUGCUCUCUCAAGGGCAGACAAGGGAACAACUAAUAACUUUGCCUCUGAGAUAAGGAUCUGUCUGUCUAAGGAUGUGCCUAUGUGGUCUUCAGGGCUGACAGAUAUUCUCUGCUCAGACUCCGGGAGAGCUGAAGGGCAGCUACCUCUCAACAUCUGGGUACAUGCAUUAGCAUGGCAUUUGCUGCAGUGAAUAUAUGCUGCCACGCAGCCAUUUUAUGCCUUUACUAUGCCAUGUGGAUUUGCUUUGCUGCUGCCCAAUAGACAACUCACAGGGAAAGUUUGUAAGGGAAAGGGCCAAUAUGAAAUGACUCACAUCUGACAAUGAACAUCUGACAAUGCUCAGACACUUUCUGGCAAGGAGGUUACAUCCAAACUGUCAUGUUUAAUAAUAACUGAAUGUGAAUGAACAAGUCUGAGUAUUUUUGAACAAAUAUAUACCACUGAGCUCAACAUCCUGUGGCAGGGAGCUGUACAGUUUUUCUUGGUGUCACAAGUCAUCCUUUAACAGCAGUCUCUUAUUCCAGAGAGCUAAUAAUUCUCUGCUGUUUCUUCCCUGAAGCUCACUGAGCCAGCUGGCAUGAGACCAGAGGCAAGGUUCUGCCUGUCUUCUAUUCUACAAACCAAUUGCCUCUGUGGCUGCUACCUGUCUUGCCUCGCAUCUGCUCUGUGACUGACUGCAUCAGUGGCCCUCUCGACCCAUAUGCCUCCAUGCGAAUGGGAGCUUCUCUGCAACUCUUGUUGAGCUGAUUAGACUGGAGUGGAAGAAAUCAACUUCUACAGCAGCCUGGAAGCAGCAAGGCACAGAACAGGACCCUCUGCUGUGCCCAGCUAUUUCAAUAGAGAGACUUGAAAAACAGGUCAAAUGGCAAUCUAACAUUUCUUAGGCACUUUCUUACCUUUUUUUUGGUAGAUUUUGCUGUUGUUCACCUUGAUACAGGUGAACUCUGAGGAUGUUAAGUGACCAAGGCUACCAUUUUUGGUCAAUAUGAAGGGUGUUUAUUUGUUUUCUUGAUG